UUUAAAGGGCUGCGGUAAUUUGACCGUGCAAAGGUAGCAUAAUCAAUAGUCUUUUAAUUGGAGGCUUGAAUGAAAGGUUUGACGGAGGAGAAGCUGUCUUUUUAUUAGAAUUGAAUUUAACUUUUGUGUAAGAAGGCAUUAAUGAUUUAGAGGGACGAUAAGACCCUAUAAAACUUUAUAUAUUAUAUUUAUUUAAUAAAAUAGUUAAUUAAUUAUUGGUGGUUAAUUAUAUUUUGCUGGGGUGGCAGGAAUAUAAUUCUAACUGUUUUAAAUGUAAAAUAUUUAUUAAUAGAGAGUGGUCCUUUGGUUGAGAGUUGAGAGUAAGUUACUUUAGGGAUAACAGCAUAAUUUCUUUUGAGAGUUCUUAUCGAAGAUGGUAGUUGUGACCUCGAUGUUGAAUUAAAUUUUCCUUUUAAUGUAGGAGUUUAAAAGGAAGGGCCA
RNAcentral lists this ribosomal RNA (441 nucleotides) under Synalpheus cf. brooksi KMH-2011. RNAcentral describes it as "partial 16S ribosomal RNA". It matches the Rfam family "Bacterial large subunit ribosomal RNA", at positions 1922 to 2578 of the family's 2925-position model. Lineage: Eukaryota; Metazoa; Arthropoda; Malacostraca; Decapoda; Alpheidae. The record is from RNAcentral.